AGAGAGAGAGAGAGAGAGAGUAUCUAAAUUAAAGUCUAGAAAAUGGAAGUUUGGUCAAAGUGGAUUAAAUUUCUAUUUCACAUAUUCAAAAAUUCUUGUGAUUUGACUAAUUAUUUUCUCUCGUCUUUUCUUAUCACUAUUAAGUCUCAUUUUCAGUUUUUCCAUCUUGUUCCCAAACUCAUUUUGCCCUAUUCAUGUGUAUGUAACCAUAAUAACUGUUGCUAAAUGCAUUUAUUUACCCCAAUUUGAUGCAAUUACACAUUUAUUAUCCUUUGUUCUUUUAACAUCUUGUUUCUAGGCUACCCCUAAUUCUGUGUAAUCAAACGUAAGUAAUCAUAUAGCCUUGUUCAUACAUGGACAUUCUAUAGCCAUGUGGAAGCACUUCAAAAAAUAAUCUUUAGAAGCAAUACUUUUCAUUAAUUAAGCUUAAUUAUAUCUGGAAAAUCCCUUCCUAUGAUUGAACCAUGGCAAUGAACUAGCUUCUUCUAGAAUCUUAUGAUCUGUAACUUCUUUUCUUUUCUUUUUUUCACUUUACCAUCAAAUUUUGGAGUCCUUCAUAACUGACAGAAAAACUAUUUAAUGAUAAAAUUGUGAUGACCUCUUGUGUGCCACUAAUUUCUCAUUGUUUCUUUUGUUUGCUUUGACUUGUAAUUCAUUUACUUUUGAAAGCAAAUAUAUAUAUAUAUAUUUCUGAACAGUUCAUGGUAUGAUGAGUGAUAUGAUCUUGUCAUACACAUGUUCAGAAAAAGAUCUCUUGUAUAUAGUCUUUUUGAUAACAUUCCUUCCCACUCACAGAUUAUUGCAUUUUACUCGAGUCUUGAUAAAUCUUCUGAUCAAUUUUAAGCUAAUAUCUUGGAAUUUCUUAAAAAUUGGUCAAACUAUCUCUUUAAUGGUUUGGUAAUUAGGUAGUUCUGCAACAUAUUAGAAUCUGAAAUACCUUUGCCAUUAGUUGUUUGGGUAAUUUACUGAUCCAUCUCAUUUGUUGAUUUUAUUACUCGAUCUUUGAUAAUGGCAUGCUGCAUGCACAGCUAGGAUCUGGCCAUUAGCCUGGACCUUCCAUGAACCAGUUUGAUGGAAUUAAUGAGGGCUGAGACCUUCAAAUUUGCCACAUUUUGAGGCAUAUCACGGAUGAGUUAUUGUUUUAAUGAUAAUAUGUAUUUCUUUUAGGUAUUUGGCAUUGUAAUCUGUUUAUCUUAUUCCUGUGUAAUUCGUUUCUUAUCAUUGCAAUUGCAUGGAAAACAAUAAAUUUUGUAAAAGCAUCUUAUGGUCUAUUGAAAUUCAAUGCUGAUCUCUCAAACAUUGAAUGAACUUGAUAGAUCAUUGUGCUAUUGUAGAGUAACUGACGCUUUUACUUGGAGUAAUACUUGUAUUUUCAGGCAAGGACUCUUAUUUCAAAGC
Molecule: unclassified non-coding RNA, 1398 nt
Filed under: Hevea brasiliensis (rubber tree)
Lineage: Eukaryota; Viridiplantae; Streptophyta; Magnoliopsida; Malpighiales; Euphorbiaceae
Source: RNAcentral